GAGGGUAUAGCUCAACUGGUAGAGUGCAUGCUUAGCAUAACCCAGCUCCUGGGUUCAAUCCCCAAUACCUCCA
This 73-nucleotide transfer RNA is filed under the name Camelus bactrianus (Bactrian camel). It matches the Rfam family "tRNA". From Rfam's summary of the family: Transfer RNA (tRNA) molecules are approximately 80 nucleotides in length. The record is from Rfam by way of RNAcentral. Lineage: Eukaryota; Metazoa; Chordata; Mammalia; Artiodactyla; Camelidae. RNAcentral also lists the same sequence under 2 other names.